GAUGAACGCUGGCGGCGUGCCUAAUACAUGCAAGUCGAGCGAACAGACGAGGAGCUUGCUCCUCUGACGUUAGCGGCGGACGGGUGAGUAACACUUGGAUAACCUACCUAUAAGACUGGGAUAACUUCGGGAAACCGGAGCUAAUACCGGAUAAUAUAUUGAACCGCAUGGUUCAAUAGUGAAAGACGGUUUUGCUGUCACUUAUAGAUGGAUCCGCGCCGCAUUAGCUAGUUGGUAAGGUAACGGCUUACCAAGGCGACGAUGCGUAGCCGACCUGAGAGGGUGAUCGGCCACACUGGAACUGAGACACGGUCCAGACUCAUACGGGAGGCAGAAGUAGGGAAUCUUCCGCAAAGGGCGAAAGCCUGACGGAGCAACGCCGCGUGAGUGAUGAAGGUCUUCGGAUCGUAAAACUCUGUUAUUAGGGAAGAACAAAUGUGUAAGUAACUAUGCACGUCUUGACGGUACCUAAUCAGAAAGCCACGGCUAACUACGUG
This 497-nucleotide ribosomal RNA is filed under the name uncultured bacterium. RNAcentral describes it as "partial 16S ribosomal RNA". It matches the Rfam family "Bacterial small subunit ribosomal RNA", at positions 28 to 507 of the family's 1533-position model. The record is from RNAcentral.